GUGAAAAUCAUCGGUAGCUUGGUAUGUAGCAGAAUGGUCUGGACAAGAGAAACUUUUCUUACGAGUGUGUUUACAGGCCCGAGGAAGCUGGAGCCCUGCUCCCACAGGAGGCAGAGAUGCGAGCGGUGCAUGGAGAGGAGUUUCAGUCAGCCGAACAGCUCACAGAGCCCAAGGGUGAUGAUCCGCUCAGGCAGCGACAGCAUCUACAGCCACCAGUCCUGCAGUUACAGCACACACCCUCCAUGUUCUUGUAGCAACAGCCCAUUCAACCACCGCCCCUGCAUAAACAUCAGUUGCCACUGUCAACUGUUGAAUGGCAGCACAAGCAACAACCAGAGAGGGAGAGAAAGCACUGAACACCAAUGCUGCUGGCGGGAGGGUGGCUCUACCAGCAACAACACCGGUAUGCAUCACUGCUGUGGCAACAGAAGGUGUAUCCAUCAAACUGGCAAUAAUCGCACCCACAACCUUGCCUCCUUCAGCAAUGGCACCUACUGCCACAGUCACAGCUGUGAGGACCAGCCAGACACCCAACACACCUGUGACAAUCACACUGCUAACCAGCACUGCAGUGAGAGCUCCUACAAGUGUCACAAGUCUGCAGACAGCACAUCUGUUCACCAAACCUGCAGGAUCACUGUGCAUGAACGUGCAAACUUGUAUCCACAUCCCGACCUGAGGACCCCACCCCACCGAGUUCCAGCCCUCGCAACGCCAAAGUCCGAGAACCGGCUCAACAGCGGACCACCACUGCACUGCGCAGAUGAUGGCUAUAGCGACCCACACAAGUCUAGCAAGUACAGUCAGUCUCCUCUGGCUCAGGUCAUCCGGUGCACUAACAGUUCCAAGCCCAAACUCCGAAGCUCUCCCCAAGGGCACUGUAAACUGCAAGAUGUGUCCCUGGAUGAUACAAAGGAAUCUGGCAAGGACACCUUGCAUAAACAAGAAAUUUGGAACGCAGUUCAUUCCAAACAUCAGGACUCAUGGAGGGAGCGUUCCAACACAGCACACAGCCUCCUCGCUGUCUCUCCUGCCUCAACCCAGCAUUCGACCUGGGGACGAGCAACACAAGGCAUCGAGUCCCCUCGUUUCGAGUUCUCCCAGAACAGGAGGUCUGUGCUGCAAAGGCAGGCUCACGUGGAGCUGCCUCUUGAGUCUCCAGUCCCGGACGCCCUGGUCAGACUGCGUGAAGUGUCUGAGGACCAGCAUGACCAUGUCGCUGUGGGUCUGGAGAGCACUCAGACUGCACCCAUUGGAUCCCCUCUACCUGUGAACCCUUACCCAGCUACUGCCCCCUCGAUUACAGUUUCCACCCUUGGCCACGCAGCCAUCACCAUUGCUGGCUCUUCCCCUGUCGCCUCCCUCCUUGAACUGGAGUCUAAGAUGCCCAAUAGAAAGAGAGGUCCACCCGUGCCACCUAAGCCCAUUUGGAUUCCACAGAGUCUGAGAGGUGCGAGAAAUGGCAGGUUGCCAACAUUGACCCCUAAAACGCCCCCUGACAUGGGCAGAGUGUUUGGAAGCAGUUUACGUGACACAAUUCAAACUGCAAACCUGUCCAUCAAACAGAAGAUUCAUGCGUUUGUGAGCCCCAGUAGGUCCAAAGCACCGGGGAGAGCCAGCAGCAGGUGGGGGUCCAAAUGCGAUGGGGAAAACAUGGGAGAGACUCCCUCCUUUAGCCAGCAUGUGACCCAGGAGCUGCUCUCCCCUCUGCACUCUCAGCUCCCAGACCCCAAAUCGUGCUUCCGUCACACAUGCGCACCCCUCGCAGGGUCACCUUGGGCUGGACCUGAAAAGACACCCCCAGACACCAACACCAGGGGAUUGAGUGUCGUUGGGGGAAGAGAUGCGAGAAUGGACCGAGAGCCUGGUGUGCAGCCUUCUUCGUCUCCCCAUCCCUGCACCCACUAUGGGAUCUUAGGGUUUCCAGCGCAGGGUGUGGAGAAGAUAAGGCCGAAAGCCAAGGCCUUGGACGUCGACACUGUUCAGCUGCCUGAAGACAUCCACAUUGUGGUUCUACCCAAAGAGGAGACUGCUGACCUGGGCAUCGCUGGUGGAUCGAACCUCGAGCACAAAGCCAUUGUUCAGACAGGAUGGGAUCAGGAGGGGACCAUGGAGACGGGGGGUGUGCUGCUGUCCAUCACCGGGAGGUCACUAGGAGACAUGUCAAACAGUGGCAUCCCCAUGGCAACCCUACAGAAUGCCAGGAUGGCAAUGCCGACAGUGAUCACACGUAAACAUAGACCAGCAAAGUGUGUCACAGGUGACUUCACUUAUACUGUAAACCACAGCCCCACAGAUGUAUCGUCCUUAUCUGAAGAAAGAUGUCAGCAAAUAGAUGUGUUUACUUGUCUUCCUACAGGUGGCACCACAGAGCAGAGCAUACCAUGAAAUGGUCUUGAGAUGACUUAGAGAAGGUUCAGAACUCCUCUAGAGGCUGAAGAGUCAGACUAUGGGACUGUGGUGAUGAUGUAAUGAUAAGACCUUUCAACAUAUUCAUUAGGAGAAAGAAGAACAUGCUAAAUGUCUUAGGAACGAGUGCAUGCUGCAAUUUGGGGAAAACGAUGAAGAUCAGCUGAAGAACCUCUGUGUGUCCAUAAAACUGCACACUAAUUUGGGUGUCACCACAGACUCAACUCUGGAACUUCAGCAGCCACCAGGAUGACCUGUGACUGCAGUAAAAAAGAUCAUCCACCUGUAUGGUUGAUGCUGCUACAGAAGAACCCUACAAGAGUGUGACACACACACACACACACACACACACACACACACACACACACACACACAUACACAUACUGCUCUAAACAAAAGCAGAGGAAGAGCCAAAGCACUGUGUUCCAUGAAGCAGUGUCACAUAUGAACAUAUACUUUCCAUAUAAACCUGAAAUAGGACCAACAGCACCUGCAUUUUACACAUACUGCUGUACCAUACAACAGUAACGUGACAUCAUCUCCAUAACCUUCUGCUGCAAGUCUUUUCUCUUUCAAUGACCACUCAAAACACACUGCUUCAACAUGGUAACCAAAAAGAUUACAAUCGUAUUUAGGCUGUUCCUACUGAAGCACAGAAAUUUACUGUAUAAAAUAGCAUGUUCAUUACUGGAGAGAUUAUGGUCAAUAUUUUGUACAUUUGCCAAAAAGUGUAAUGUAUAAAUAUAUGUAGUACAAGA
RNAcentral lists this long non-coding RNA (3167 nucleotides) under Scleropages formosus (Asian bonytongue). RNAcentral's name for it is "lncRNA (ENSSFOG00015029469.1)". The record is from RNAcentral. Lineage: Eukaryota; Metazoa; Chordata; Actinopteri; Osteoglossiformes; Osteoglossidae.